GAGUUUGAUCCUGGCUCAGAUUGAACGCUGGCGGCAGGCUUAACACAUGCAAGUCGAACGGUAACAUGAGUGCUUGCACUUGAUGACGAGUGGCGGACGGGUGAGUAAUGUAUGGGGAUCUGCCGAAUGGAGGGGGACAACAGUUGGAAACGACUGCUAAUACCGCAUAAAGUUGAGAGACCAAAGCAUGGGACCUUCGGGCCAUGCGCCAUUUGAUGAACCCAUAUGGGAUUAGCUAGUUGGUAGGGUAAUGGCUUACCAAGGCGACGAUCUCUAGCUGGUCUGAGAGGAUGACCAGCCACACUGGAACUGAGACACGGUCCAGACUCCUACGGGAGGCAGCAGUGGGGAAUAUUGCACAAUGGGGGGAACCCUGAUGCAGCCAUGCCGCGUGUAUGAAGAAGGCCUUCGGGUUGUAAAGUACUUUCGGUGAUGAGGAAGGUGACGUAUCUAAUAGGUGCGUUAAUUGACGUUAAUUACAGAAGAAGCACCGGCUAACUCCGUGCCAGCAGCCGCGGUAAUACGGAGGGUGCAAGCGUUAAUCGGAAUGACUGGGCGUAAAGGGCAUGUAGGCGGAUAAUUAAGUUAGGUGUGAAAGCCCUGGGCUCAACCUAGGAAUUGCACUUAAAACUGGUUAACUAGAGUAUUGUAGAGGAAGGUAGAAUUCCACGUGUAGCGGUGAAAUGCGUAGAGAUGUGGAGGAAUACCGGUGGCGAAGGCGGCCUUCUGGACAGAUACUGACGCUGAGAUGCGAAAGCGUGGGGAGCAAACAGGAUUAGAUACCCUGGUAGUCCACGCUGUAAACGAUGUCGAUUUGGAGUUUGUUGCCUAGAGUGAUGGGCUCCGAAGCUAACGCGAUAAAUCGACCGCCUGGGGAGUACGGCCGCAAGGUUAAAACUCAAAUGAAUUGACGGGGGCCCGCACAAGCGGUGGAGCAUGUGGUUUAAUUCGAUGCAACGCGAAGAACCUUACCUGGUCUUGACAUCCACAGAAUCUUGCAGAGAUGAGGGAGUGCCUUCGGGAACUGUGAGACAGGUGCUGCAUGGCUGUCGUCAGCUCGUGUUGUGAAAUGUUGGGUUAAGUCCCGCAACGAGCGCAACCCUUAUCCUUUGUUGCCAGCGAUUAGGUCGGGAACUCAAAGGAGACUGCCGUUGAUAAAACGGAGGAAGGUGGGGACGACGUCAAGUCAUCAUGGCCCUUACGACCAGGGCUACACACGUGCUACAAUGGCGUAUACAAAGGGAGGCGA
This 1249-nucleotide ribosomal RNA is filed under the name uncultured Gammaproteobacteria bacterium. Its description in RNAcentral is "bacterial SSU rRNA". It matches the Rfam family "Bacterial small subunit ribosomal RNA", at positions 9 to 1252 of the family's 1533-position model. The record is from RNAcentral. Lineage: Bacteria; Pseudomonadati; Pseudomonadota; Gammaproteobacteria.